RNAcentral lists this ribosomal RNA (253 nucleotides) under uncultured bacterium. RNAcentral describes it as "partial 16S ribosomal RNA". It matches the Rfam family "Bacterial small subunit ribosomal RNA", at positions 524 to 776 of the family's 1533-position model. The record is from RNAcentral.
UACGUAGGUGGCAAGCGUUGUCCGGAUUUACUGGGCGUAAAGAGCGCGCAGGCGGUCGGAUUAGUCGCGUGUGAAAGCCCCCGGCUCAACUGGGGAGGGUCACGCGAUACUGUUCGACUCGAAGGCAGGAGAGGGAAGUGGAAUUCCCGGUGUAGUGGUGAAAUGCGUAGAUAUCGGGAGGAACACCGAUGGCGAAGGCAAUCCCCUGGGCCUGCACUGACGCUCAUGCACGAAAGCGUGGGGAGCAAACAGG